UAAGGAAUAUUGGACAAUGGAGGCAACUCUGAUCCAGCCAUGCCGCGUGAAGGAAUAAGGCCCUAUGGGUUGUAAACUUCUUUUAGACGGGACAAAACCCCUUUACGUGUAAAGGGUUGAUGGUACUGUCAGAAUAAGCAUCGGCUAACUUCGUGCCAGCAGCCGCGGUAAUACGAAGGAUGCAAGCGUUAUCCGGAUUUACUGGGUUUAAAGGGUGCGUAGGUGGGCUUAUAAGUCAGUGGUGAAAUCUCCGAGCUUAACUUGGAAACUGCCGUUGAUACUAUAGGUCUUGAAUUAUCUGGAGGUAAGCGGAAUAGGUCAUGUAGCGGUGAAAUGCUUAGAUAUGACAUAGAACACCAAUUGCGAAGGCAGCUUACUACAUAUAAAUUGACGCUGAGGCACGAAAGCGUGGGGAUCAAACA
This 422-nucleotide ribosomal RNA is filed under the name uncultured bacterium. Its description in RNAcentral is "bacterial SSU rRNA". It matches the Rfam family "Bacterial small subunit ribosomal RNA", at positions 355 to 774 of the family's 1533-position model. The record is from RNAcentral.